RNAcentral lists this ribosomal RNA (990 nucleotides) under Triticum aestivum (bread wheat). RNAcentral's name for it is "partial small subunit ribosomal RNA". The record is from RNAcentral. Lineage: Eukaryota; Viridiplantae; Streptophyta; Magnoliopsida; Poales; Poaceae.
AUGGAUCAUCUCCUCCUUUUCUCAUUCAAAUCAGUCAUGCAUUCAAAAUCCGCUUUCCUUCUGAUCGUGGUGGCAGUUAGCACCACGGCCAUGGUGCACGGCCACCCUGCCGCUAGCACUCCGGCGGCACGGUUCUGGGAGCAGGCCCUCUCCGGCACGCCUAUGCCGGAGGUGCUAGCUGAUUUUGUUCAGAAAGGAAUCGAUCUGUCACCGCUUGUGGAGCAAUACUCUGCACAGCCCAGUAUCGGCAUGUGCACACUGUUCAACACUAUCUGCGACGCGCGGACAGUGGCGGAGACCGGCAUCUUCUUCCACGAGGCCGAGCUACAUCCGGGCAGCACCAUGACCCUCUCUUUCCCAGCGGAGGCGGAGACAGCCAUCCUCCCGCACGACGUCGCCGGCAAGGUCCCCUUCGAGAACCUAAGCGACGUCCUCUCCACGUUCCACAUCUCACCAGGCUCCGCUGAGGCGGCGCAAGUGGAGGACACCCUGCGCAAGUGCCAGCAGCCGCCAAUCGCCGGUGAGAUGAAAGCCUGCACCAUGUCGCUAGAGAGCACUGUAAAGGCCGCCAUGGAGAUGCUCGGCACCACCAUCCAGCAGGGUGGUGGUGGUGGUGAUGUGUGGGCGGCCACGUCGACGCUCCCCCGCGGUGGCCUGCUACCACGCCGGGAGUACAUUGUCGAGGAGGUCACCAAGCUAGAGGGCACUGGCUACGUGGCCUGCCACAAGGUGCCGUUCCCAUACGCCGUCUUCCAUUGUCACAUCGCGCAUACGGGGUAUAUAGGUUACAAGGUCACCCUCCACGGCCGCGGCGACGACGAGGGCCCGGUGGUUUCCUUGCUGGCGUUCUGCCAUUUCGACACCUCCCGCUGGAAUCCGGCACACCCGGCGUUCCAGAUACUCAAGACCCACCCUGGUGCCGGUACGUCGGUGUGCCACUUCAUGUCGUAUGGCAAUCUCGCGUUCGUCAAGAAGGCACGCACAGCCUAG